Molecule: non-coding RNA, 115 nt
Organism: Triticum aestivum (bread wheat)
Lineage: Eukaryota; Viridiplantae; Streptophyta; Magnoliopsida; Poales; Poaceae
Source: Rfam
AAGCUACUUCCUCCGUUCGGAAUUAUUUGUCGCAGAAAUAAAUGUAUCUAGAUAUAUUUUAGUUCUAGAUACAUUCAUAUUCAAGACAAAUAAUUCCGAAUGAAGGGAGUACUUG